Molecule: transfer RNA, 73 nt
Filed under: Trichonephila clavipes
Lineage: Eukaryota; Metazoa; Arthropoda; Arachnida; Araneae; Nephilidae
Rfam family: tRNA
About the family: Transfer RNA (tRNA) molecules are approximately 80 nucleotides in length. Their secondary structure includes four short double-helical elements and three loops (D, anti-codon, and T loops).
Source: Rfam by way of RNAcentral
GUCCCUGCUGCGCAAUGGAUAGCGCGUUGGUUUUUUAAUCCGAAGGUCGUGGGUUCGGAUCCCACCUGGGAUG